AUUGAACGCUGGCGGCAGGCCUAACACAUGCAAGUCGAGCGAGCGGCGGACGGGUGAGUAAUGUAUGGGGACUGCCCGAUAGAGGGGGAUAACUACUGGAAACGGUGGCUAAUACCGCAUACUAUCGGAUAACCCAUAUGGGAUUAGCUAGUAGGUGAGGUAAUGGCUCACCGAGGCGACGAUCCCUAGCUGGUCUGAGAGGAUGAUCAGCCACACUGGGACUGAGACACGGCCCAGACUCCUACGGAGGCAGCAGUGGGGAAUAUUGCACAAGGGGCGCAAGCCUGAUGAAGCCAUGCCGCGGGUAUGAAGAAGGCCUUAGGGUUGUAAAGUACUUUCAGUCGGGAGGCGUUACCGACAGAAGAAGCACCGGCUAACUCCGUGCCAGCAGCCGCGGUAAUUC
Molecule: ribosomal RNA, 403 nt
Filed under: uncultured bacterium
Lineage: Bacteria
Description: partial 16S ribosomal RNA
Rfam family: Bacterial small subunit ribosomal RNA
Source: RNAcentral